This 237-nucleotide ribosomal RNA is filed under the name uncultured bacterium. RNAcentral's name for it is "partial 16S ribosomal RNA". It matches the Rfam family "Bacterial small subunit ribosomal RNA", at positions 356 to 582 of the family's 1533-position model. The record is from RNAcentral.
AGGGAAUCUUCGGCAAUGGGGGCAACCCUGACCGAGCAACGCCGCGUGAGUGAAGAAGGUUUUCGGAUCGUAAAGCUCUGUUGUAAGUCAAGAACGGGUGUGAGAGUGGAAAGUUCACACUGUGACGGUAGCUUACCAGAAAGGGACGGCUAACUACGUGCCAGCAGCCGCGGUAAUACGUAGGUCCCCGAGCGUUGUCCGGAUUUAUUGGGCGUAAAGCGAUGCGCAGGCGGUUUG